AUAGGGCAUCAGGUAAAGAAAUCGUCAGGGUUUGAUCAUGGCUCAGAUUGAACGCUGGCAGGGAUGCUUUGCAUGCAGUCGACAUGCUAGCACGGACUCGGUCUGUGGCGAGUGGCGAACGGGUGAGUAAUGUAUCGGAACGUGCACUAGUAGCGAAAGGGGAUAACUACGCCAAGCGUAGCUAAUACCGCACGCCCUUCGAAGGGGGAAAGCAGGGAGGACCUUCGGGCCUCGCACUAUUGAAACGGCCGAUAUCGGAUUAGCUAGUUGGUGGGGUAACGGCUCACCAAGGCGACGAUCCGUAGCUGGUUUGAAGAGAGGACGACCAGCCACACUGGGACUGAGACACGGCCCAGGCUCUACGGGAGGCAGCAGUGGGAAUUUUGGACAAUGGGGAAACCCUGAUCCAGCCAUCCCUGACCUGCGAUGAAGGCCUUCAGGUUGUAAAGCACUUUUGGCAGGAAAGAAACGGCGCGCGGACAAUACCCCGUGCAACUGACAGUACCUGCAGAAUACGCGCAACUGACACUACGUGCCAGCAGCCGCGGUAAUACGUAGGGUGCAAGCGUUAAUCGGAAUUACUGGGUGUAAAGCGUGCACCAGGCGGUUCGGAAAGAAGAUGCGGAAAUCCAGAGCUUAACUUUGGGACUGCAUUUUUAGCUACCGAGCUAGAGUGUGUCAGGAGGUGAAUUCCCGCGUGUAGCAGUGAAAUGCGUAGAUAUGCGGAGGAACACCAUUAAGCGAAGGCAGCCUCUGGGAUAACGCUGACGCUCAUGCACCGAAAAGCGUGGGGAGCAAACAGGAUUAGUACCUGGUAGUCCACGCCCCUAAACGAUGUCAACUAGCUGUUGGGGCCUUCGGGCCUUUGGUGGCGCCCAGCUAACGCGUGAGGGUUGACCGCCUGGGAGGCCAGACAAGAUUAAAACUCAAAGGAAUUGACGGACCCGCACAAGCGGUGGAUGAUGUUAGUUAAUUCGAUGCAACGCGAAAAACCACCUACCCUUGACAUGUCUGGAAUCCCGAAGAGAUUUGGGAGUGCCACGAGCCGGAACACAGGUGCUGCAUGGCUGUGUCGUGUCGUGAGAUGUUGGGUUAAGUCCCGCAGCAACCGCAGCCCUUGUCAUUAGUUGCUACGAAAGACGCUCUAAUGGAACUGCUCAGUGACAAACCUUCGGAGGAAGGUGGGGAUGACGUCAAGUCCUCGUGGCCAUAUGGGUAGAAGCUACACGUCAUACAAUGGUCGGGACAGAGGGUCGCCAACCCGCGAGGGGAGCCAAUCCCAGAAACCCGAUCCGUAGUCCGGAUCGCAGUCUGCAACUCGACUUUGCGUGAAGUCCGGAAUCGCUUCAGGUAAUCGCCGGAUCGACGUCUUCGCAGUGAAUACGUUCCCGGGUCUUGUACACACCGCCCGUCACACCAUGGGAGUGGGUUUUACCGAAGUGAUUAGCCCUAACCGUAAGGAGGGCGAUUACCACGGUAGGAUUCGCGGCUGGGAGUGAAGUCGUAACAAGUUCAG
RNAcentral lists this ribosomal RNA (1516 nucleotides) under uncultured Bordetella sp. RNAcentral describes it as "partial 16S-23S ribosomal RNA intergenic spacer". It matches the Rfam family "Bacterial small subunit ribosomal RNA". The record is from RNAcentral. Lineage: Bacteria; Pseudomonadati; Pseudomonadota; Betaproteobacteria; Burkholderiales; Alcaligenaceae.